This 460-nucleotide ribosomal RNA is filed under the name uncultured bacterium. RNAcentral describes it as "partial 16S ribosomal RNA". It matches the Rfam family "Bacterial small subunit ribosomal RNA", at positions 338 to 795 of the family's 1533-position model. The record is from RNAcentral.
CCUACGGGUGGCAGCAGUGAGGAAUAUUGGUCAAUGGACGAGAGUCUGAACCAGCCAAGUAGCGUGAAGGAUGAAUGCCCUAUGGGUUGUAAACUUCUUUUAUAUGGGAAUAAAAUGUUCCACGUGUGGGAUUUUGUAUGUACCAUAUGAAUAAGGCUCGGCUAACUCCGUGCCAGCAGCCGCGGUAAUACGGAGGAUCCGAGCGUUAUCCGGAUUUAUUGGGUUUAAAGGGAGCGUAGGUGGAUUGUUAAGUCAGUUGGGAAAGUUUGCGGCUCAACCGUAAAAUUGCAGUUGAAACUGGCAGUCUUGAGUACAGUAGAGGUGGGCGGAAUUCGUGGUGUAGCGGUGAAAUGCUUAGAUAUCACGAAGAACUCCGAUUGCGAAGGCAGCUCACUGGACUGCAACUGACACUGAGGCUCGAAGGUGUGGGUAUCAAACAGGAUUAGAUACCCGAGUAGUC